CUGUGUGGCUGCACCCUGGUGUGGGGGACUUGCUGCCUCUCCACCUGGGGGAGGAGAGAGGCCAGGCAGCUCUCAGCUCCAAUCGGUGCUCCCUUCUUCACCUGCAGUGGUGAGGUCACAGGUGGGAGUCCAUCAAAAUCAAGUGUCCCUGUGUUCCUGGCAUGGCUGUUGCACAUUCCUUAUAUUUUGAAAGAAACUAGCUCACACAAGGAAGCAAAAAUCACCUUUCUCUGCCUCUCUUUCAUCCUCUCACUCAGUGCCACGCUGGUUUUCUUAUCUGGGUUCAGCUGUCCAAGCCCAGGCCAACACAAUCUGCCGCCGUCCCAUAACCGACAGAGCAGAGAAGCUGCUGUAGGAUGACGGCAGAACGCGCGGGAAUCACAGAUCGGAAAGAAAAACCUCCCGGAGGAAGCAGCAGCUGGGAGGCGAUGAGCCCUUCACAAGGCGACAGGACCACCUAGAUCUCGUAAGUCGAUUGAUGUUUUCUACACAAGAAAAUAAACUCGCUUUGAAACCCCCACACUGGGAUCUUCAGACCAGAAGAGCUGUGCCCAUUUACCUUGUCCAUUCCAGAAAACCAGAAGGCCUCACAGCUGCCAUGUUGCCUUAGUUUAAGAAAUGUUUCUCCUUGCACUUACCCUCUGGAAGAACACAACCCAGAGGAAAGCUUGUCCCCUCCGUGUCACUAAGGUCUGAACAGGCAGUAGCUGAGAAGAGCACCCUAACUCUAAACCCUGAGAGGAUGGAGGCUGGCAACCUGUCCAGAAGCUUAUCUCCUAGAGGAAAUAUAGAAAAUAAAACAAUAAUUUAAUAUCAUUCCCAAGACAGAAUUUUAUAAAGAUGAUGAAGAGAGAGAUAGGGAGGGCACUGAUUCCUCCAGAGAGGUCCAGGAACAGCUCUCUACUGCAGUAACAUUGAAGUAAUGGCCUCAGUGAUGAAAAAGAGUCGGCUGUGUCCAGUCUGGAGCAAGAGCAGAGGGAAGACGAGAGGCCUGCCACUAGGGCAGGGGCCUCCAUGCACAGCAGGAAGACAGCUCCUCAGCACAACCAAAUAGAUUUUUCUUUUCCUCAGUCCUCCAGGCUGGACAUCAUAGUCGUAAAGCAGUCUUGGGUCUCUGAAGAUCCCCUCUGUUCCCAGAAGCCCUUGCUAGAGCCUCGUGUUGGGCUCUCUGUGUCUCUAAGGCUUAGGCUCAGACUGUCACUAGAUCUGUCAGUUGGGGAGGGCAUUACCUGACAGCAUUUCCUGCUGGGCAUUGGGUCAAUCUGCAGCUCAGUGGGUCCCUAGCGAAAAAUCUGUCUUGGGACACAGGUAUGGCCUUGGAAAGGGUCCUCAUGGGUUCUAUUUUAUCAUGUAGUACGCCACCCGGAAGAAUUUGUUCUGUUUGUUAUUUAAAAGUGGGCUUACCACAGCAAUGGGCCCAGGCGGCGGCGCAGGGUGACGACCACCUGUAACUGCCUGCGGGGGGUUUUCUCGGAACCCUGGUAGGUGCCAGAGACAGGUUCCCUUGCUCUCGGAUGUCAUGUAAUCUCUCCGUGCCGCAGGUCCACGCAUUUCCACCUGGAUCUCACGUCUCCAGGUGUCACGCUUUCUCCUUUCUUAUUUCCCAGGCUCAACCUUCUCAUAAACCUCAAUCUCCAGGAACCGAGAGCCCUUCCUGCCACCACUGAAACCGGCUCCCCUGGGUUCGGAGAACCGGGAACGGGUGUCCGCGCUGAUCCUCUGGAACUGAGGGCGCUCAGCGCCCAAGACAAAAAUGCCCCUCCCGGCGCGGCUGGGAGCGCCUUCUCUCUCCCCGGGAUCCCAGUCCUACACCUGCAGCGUCCCCUAGGCUCCUCCCCGCCUUCCUCCACCUCCUACAGCCCAUCACUUUUGGUGGGAGCGAAGUCACUGCCUCCCCCGUCCCGUGUGCGCUCACGGAAAAAAAAAAAAAAAAAA
Long non-coding RNA from Lutra lutra (Eurasian river otter), 1935 nucleotides. RefSeq lists it as uncharacterized. The record is from RefSeq and is a predicted model, not a curated record. NCBI's taxonomy places the organism in Eukaryota, Metazoa, Chordata, Mammalia, Carnivora, Mustelidae. The transcript has 5 exons.